CACGUAGGCGGACUGGAAAGUUGGAGGUGAAAUCCCAGGGCUCAACCUUGGAACUGCCUUCAAAACUAUCAGUCUGGAGUUCGAGAGAGGUGAGUGGAAUUCCGAGUGUAGAGGUGAAAUUCGUAGAUAUUCGGAGGAACACCAGUGGCGAAGGCGGCUCACUGGCUCGAUACUGACGCUGAGGUGCGAAAGUGUGGGGAGCAAC
Molecule: ribosomal RNA, 205 nt
Filed under: uncultured bacterium
Lineage: Bacteria
Description: partial 16S ribosomal RNA
Rfam family: Bacterial small subunit ribosomal RNA
Source: RNAcentral